GUCUUUGUUUGAAGUUUGAGCUCCUGAAGCCCUUGUGAUUGGAGUCGUGGCUUUGUUGGUAUUGGACCGAAAGGACUUGCAGAGUUUUCACUCCUGGAGAGCGACUUUUGGGAGAGGAGGAGGAUUCUAUCGGGUAUGGGUUGCACAUAGAUAUCAUAGGUGGUUUAUUUGAAGAAGCAAUCAGAGCCGUUGGAUCUGCUAGGGACAGGUGUCACUCACCCAAAUAACUAUGGACAAGCUUAGUUGAUUAGUGCCAUGGGGACGAGCCAGAUCAAAGAAGGGAUGUGGAAAAGUGCACAAUGUCUUGAAGGAUUGGCACCAUCUACAAUGGAGGAGUCAUGGCACGAUUGAGGAGAAAAGAGAUCACUUCAUUACAGUAUGAAUCAAUCUAGAUGUGAGAGAGGCCAGCAGGAAGAGCAUGACCCAACCCAUAUCCAAUGGCAAUGGCUUCCCCAAUAACAUUGACACACUUUUACUGAAAACUAGCCAAGUAAUAUAAAAUCUCUAUUUUAA
Molecule: long non-coding RNA, 513 nt
Organism: Macadamia integrifolia
Lineage: Eukaryota; Viridiplantae; Streptophyta; Magnoliopsida; Proteales; Proteaceae
Exons: 2
Source: RefSeq, a predicted model, not a curated record